RNAcentral lists this ribosomal RNA (252 nucleotides) under uncultured bacterium. RNAcentral describes it as "partial 16S ribosomal RNA". It matches the Rfam family "Bacterial small subunit ribosomal RNA", at positions 524 to 776 of the family's 1533-position model. The record is from RNAcentral.
UACGUAGGGGGCUAGCGUUAUCCGGAAUUACUGGGCGUAAAGGGUGCGUAGGUGGUUUCUUAAGUCAGAGGUGAAAGGCUACGGCUCAACCGUAGUAAGCCUUUGAAACUGGGAAACUUGAGUGCAGGAGAGGAGAGCGGAAUUCCUAGUGUAGCGGUGAAAUGCGUAGAUAUUAGGAGGAACACCAGUUGCGAAGGCGGCUCUCUGGACUGUAACUGACACUGAGGCACGAAAGCGUGGGGAGCAAACAGG